UCUGGGCACAGUGGCUCAUGCCUAUAAUCCCAGCAUUUUAGGAGGCCAAGGUGGGAGGAUCACUUGAGCCUUGGAGUUCGAGGCUGCAGUAAGCUAUGACCAUGCCCACUGCACUCCAGACUUCAGCCUGGGCAACAGAAGCCCUGCCUCUUAAAAAAAAAGAAAGAAAAACAUGGUGACCUCCUGGGAGUGAAAGACUAGCAGGUUGCCUAAAAAGGGGUGAACUGGCCCAGGUUGGAAACUCAGCAGGUCAAAACUCUGGUGCUGAUUAGUAGUGGGAUUGCACCUUUGAAUAUCCACUGCACUGCAGCCUGGCCAACACAGUGAGACCCCGUGUCU
This is an unclassified non-coding RNA of Gorilla gorilla gorilla (western lowland gorilla), 339 nucleotides long. It matches the Rfam family "Metazoan signal recognition particle RNA". From Rfam's summary of the family: The signal recognition particle (SRP) is a universally conserved ribonucleoprotein. It is involved in the co-translational targeting of proteins to membranes. The record is from Ensembl. NCBI's taxonomy places the organism in Eukaryota, Metazoa, Chordata, Mammalia, Primates, Hominidae.